Molecule: long non-coding RNA, 347 nt
Filed under: Nicotiana benthamiana
Lineage: Eukaryota; Viridiplantae; Streptophyta; Magnoliopsida; Solanales; Solanaceae
Description: long non-coding RNA (NBEN_LNC029194)
Source: RNAcentral
CUCUCUUAAUCAAACGUUUGUCCUCGAAUGAGCAUAGAGACAUACCAAAAGUGCCAAAAAUAUUAGAAUUCAAGCUCCACAAAUCAUGCUCGGGGUCCCAAGUCGCCUUCUUGAAUGCUUGACCUCUCCAUUGAAUCUUCACCGAUGCAAUGUUCUUCGACAUCGGCUUUCAGAUCUGCCUGUCCAAAAUGGCUAUCGGCUUCUCAAAAUAUAUCAAAUCCGUUUCCAACUACACCAAGAUAAAAUCUAACACAUGUGAAGAAUCCCCAUAGUACUUCUGGAGCAUAAAAAUAUGAAACACCAGAUGAAUUUCUGAUAAGUUGGGUCGCAAAGAAAGUCUGUAUGCC